CUGUGGUGUUGGAGAAGACUCUUGAGAGUCCCUUGGACUGCAAGGAGAUCCAACCAGUCCAUUCUGAAGGAGAUCAGCCCUGGGAUUUCUUUGAAAGGAAUGAUGCUAAAGCUGACACUCCAGUACUUUGGCCACCUCAUGCGAAGAGUUGACUAAUUGGAAAAGACUGAUGCUGGGAGGGGUUGGGGGCAGGAGGAGAAGGGGACGACAGAGGAUGAGAUGGCUGGAUGGCAUCACCGACUCGAUGGACAUGAGUCUGAGUGAACUCCGGGAGUUGGUGAUGGACAGGGAGGCCUGGCAUGCUGUGAUUCAUGGGGUCGCAAAGAGUCAGACAUGACUGAGCAACUGAUCUGAUCUGAACUGAGGUGGCGGGCGUGGACAGAGCUGUAUGAGCUUCCUCUGAAUCUCAGCCACCUGCCUUCUGCCUCUUCAUCCACACCUGGUGAUGGCAGAGGAUGCCACCGUCACUGCCCUCCCUCCCACAGGCACUGCGUAAGUCCUGCUUGCCAUAGUCAGUAUGCGGGAGGGCCGAGGCGAGGAUGCAGUGCUGUCUCUUGAACCUGAGAAGCACCCAUUGAGUGCCAGCUGGGUGCCGGGUGCCCUGGCCGACACGGGGCUCACAGAACUGAAUAUGGAACCCUGGCCUGCGACCGGCUCACUGAUUUGUUCACCUUAAACUGGAACAUUAAAAGCAAACAGAAGAGUUUCCUUAAGAGACUGAGCUGUCAGGUGCAUUUUGCUGAUCUUCAGGGAAAAAAGAAAGGAAACGUGGACUCUUCGGUGUCAUUCUCUAAAGCCCUGCAGUUGACCUUAGGCUCUUCAGUGCAACAUGUUGUCUUGAGGCUCUGUGCUGUACCAUGUAGGGGUCGAGGAUCUUGUCGAGCUGAUUCAGUGUCGGAUGAGGCAGGCUGGUACUUGAAAGGUAAACUCACCUGACCAAGCUCACAGGGUAAGUCAGUAAGUAGGUGUGGGUCACAGAGUCGAAGCGGAACAGUUGGACACGACUUAGUGGCUGAACAACAACAACAAAAGGAAUCGACUACACACCCUUUAGGGCUCCCCUGGUGGCUCAGAGGGUAAAUCACCUGCCUGCAAUGUGGGAGACCCGGGUUCAGUCCUUGGGUUGUGAAGAUCCCCUGGAGAAGGAAACGGUGACCCACUCCAGAAUUCUUGCCUGGAGAACCCCAUAGACGGAGGAGCCUAGUGGGCUACAGUCCACAGGGUCACAAAGAGCUGGACACGACUGAGCGACUUCACUUUCUUUCUUUCUUUGCACAGCCUUUAAGAGCUUCCCUGGUGGCUCAGUGGUAAACAAUCCGUCUGCCAAUGCAAGAGAUAUGAGUUCAAUCCCUGGGUUGGCAGCAUCACCACUGGGAGGCUGGUGGAGAUGCAGAAUCUUCAGGCUCUCUGAAGACCCCAGUCCUCCUGAGAAUCUUCAUUUUUACAAGGCGUUUGUUGGGUUGCACACUGGAGUUUGAGCAAUACCGCCCUAGAACACAG
This 1500-nucleotide long non-coding RNA is filed under the name Bos indicus x Bos taurus (hybrid cattle). RNAcentral's name for it is "lncRNA (ENSBIXG00000029707.1)". The record is from RNAcentral. Lineage: Eukaryota; Metazoa; Chordata; Mammalia; Artiodactyla; Bovidae.